RNAcentral lists this ribosomal RNA (754 nucleotides) under uncultured Actinomyces sp. RNAcentral's name for it is "bacterial SSU rRNA". It matches the Rfam family "Bacterial small subunit ribosomal RNA", at positions 28 to 776 of the family's 1533-position model. Lineage: Bacteria; Bacillati; Actinomycetota; Actinomycetes; Actinomycetales; Actinomycetaceae. The record is from RNAcentral.
GACGAACGCUGGCGGCGUGCUUAACACAUGCAAGUCGAACGCUGAAGCCUGGCUUUUGUUGGGUGGAUGAGUGGCGAACGGGUGAGUAACACGUGAGUAACCUGCCCUCUUCUUUGGGAUAACGCCCGGAAACGGGUGCUAAUACUGGAUAUUCACUUGCCUUCGCAUGGGGGUGGGUGGAAAGGGUUUUUUCUGGUGGGGGAUGGGCUCGCGGCCUAUCAGCUUGUUGGUGGGGUGAUGGCUUACCAAGGCUUUGACGGGUAGCCGGCCUGAGAGGGUGACCGGUCACAUUGGGACUGAGAUACGGCCCAGACUCCUACGGGAGGCAGCAGUGGGGAAUAUUGCACAAUGGGCGCAAGCCUGAUGCAGCGACGCCGCGUGAGGGAUGGAGGCCUUCGGGUUGUGAACCUCUUUCGCUCAUGGUCAAGCCGCAACUCAUGGUUGUGGUGAGGGUAGUGGGUAAAGAAGCGCCGGCUAACUACGUGCCAGCAGCCGCGGUAAUACGUAGGGCGCGAGCGUUGUCCGGAAUUAUUGGGCGUAAAGGGCUUGUAGGCGGUUGGUCGCGUCUGCCGUGAAAUCCUCUGGCUUAACUGGGGGCGUGCGGUGGGUACGGGCUGGCUUGAGUGCGGUAGGGGAGACUGGAACUCCUGGUGUAGCGGUGGAAUGCGCAGAUAUCAGGAAGAACACCGGUGGCGAAGGCGGGUCUCUGGGCCGCUACUGACGCUGAGGAGCGAAAGCGUGGGGAGCGAACAGG